This 372-nucleotide ribosomal RNA is filed under the name uncultured organism. RNAcentral describes it as "bacterial SSU rRNA". It matches the Rfam family "Bacterial small subunit ribosomal RNA", at positions 526 to 896 of the family's 1533-position model. The record is from RNAcentral.
CGUAGGUGGCGAGCGUUGUCCGGAAUUAUUGGGCGUAAAGGGCGCGUAGGCGGCUCUUUAAGUCAGAUGUGAAAACCCAGGGCUUAACUCUGGGAGUGCAUUUGAAACUGAAGAGCUCGAGUGCAGGAGAGGUAAGUGGAAUUCCUAGUGUAGCGGUGAAAUGCGUAGAUAUUAGGAGGAACACCAGUGGCGAAGGCGACUUACUGGACUGUAACUGACGCUGAGGCGCGAAAGCGUGGGGAGCAAACAGGAUUAGAUACCCUGGUAGUCCACGCUGUAAACGAUGGAUACUAGGUGUGGGAGGUAUCGACCCCUUCCGUGCCGCAGUUAGCACAAUAAGCACUCCGCCUGGGGAGUACGGCCGCAAGGUUG